RNAcentral lists this ribosomal RNA (600 nucleotides) under uncultured bacterium. Its description in RNAcentral is "bacterial SSU rRNA". It matches the Rfam family "Bacterial small subunit ribosomal RNA", at positions 94 to 687 of the family's 1533-position model. The record is from RNAcentral.
AGCGGCGUACGGGCGCGGAACACGUGUGCACUGCUUUAUCUGGGGGAUAGCCUUUCGAAAGGAAGAUUAAUACCCCAUAAUAUGUUGAAUGGCAUCAUUCGACAUUGAAAACUCCGGUGGAUAGAGAUGGGCACGCGCAAGAUUAGAUAGUUGGUGAGGUAACGGCUCACCAAGUCUACGAUCUUUAGGGGGGCCUGAGAGGGUGAUCCCCCACACUGGUACUGAGUCACGGACCAGACUCCUACGGGAGGCAGCAGUGAGGAAUAUUGGACAAUGGGUGAGAGCCUGAUCCAGCCAUCCCGCGUGAAGGACGACUGCCCUAUGGGUUGUAAACUUCUUUUGUAUAGGGAUAAACCUACCCUCGUGAGGGUAGCUGAAGGUACUAUACGAAUAAGCACCGGUUAACUCCGUGCCAGCAAGCCGCGGUAAUACGGAGGGUGCAAGCGUUAUCCGGAUUCAUGGGUUAAAGGGGUCCGUAGGCGGGAAUCUGUAAAGUCAAGUGGUGAACUCUCACAGGUUUUAAUGUGAAAUUGCCAUUGAUACUGCAGGUCCUCGAAGUGUCGGUGAAUAGCUGGGAAUAAAGUAAUGGAAGGGAGAAAC